GAUGAACGCUGGCGGCGUGCCUAAUACAUGCAAGUCGAGCGAACGGACGAGAAGCUUGCUUCUCUGAUGUUAGCGGCGGACGGGUGAGUAACACGUGGAUAACCUACCUAUAAGACUGGGAUAACUUCGGGAAACCGUAGCUAAUACCGGAUAAUAUUUUGAACCGCAUGGUUCAAUAGUGAAAGACGGUCUUGCUGUCACUUAUAGAUGGAUCCGCGCUGCAUUAGCUAGUUGGUAAGGUAACGGCUUACCAAGGCAACGAUGCAUAGCCGACCUGAGAGGGUGAUCGGCCAAACUGGAACUGAGACACGGUCCAGACUCCUACGGGAGGCAGCAGUAGGGAAUCUUCCGCAAUGGGCGAAAGCCUGACGGAGCAACGCCGCGUGAGUGAUGAAGGUCUUCGGAUCGUAAAACUCUGUUAUUAGGGAAGAACAAAUGUGUAAGUAACUAUGCACGUCUUGACGGUACCUAAUCAGAAAGCCACGGCUAACUACGUG
This 497-nucleotide ribosomal RNA is filed under the name uncultured bacterium. RNAcentral describes it as "partial 16S ribosomal RNA". It matches the Rfam family "Bacterial small subunit ribosomal RNA", at positions 28 to 507 of the family's 1533-position model. The record is from RNAcentral.